This 441-nucleotide ribosomal RNA is filed under the name uncultured bacterium. RNAcentral describes it as "partial 16S ribosomal RNA". It matches the Rfam family "Bacterial small subunit ribosomal RNA", at positions 338 to 795 of the family's 1533-position model. The record is from RNAcentral.
CCUACGGGGGGCAGCAGUGGGGGAUAUUGCACAAUGGGGGAAACCCUGAUGCAGCGACGCCGCGUGGGUGAAGAAGUAUUUCGGUAUGUAAAGCCCUAUCAGCAGGGAAGAAAGAAGACGGUACCUGACUAAGAAGCCCCGGCUAACUACGUGCCAGCAGCCGCGGUAAUACGUAGGGGGCGAGCGUUAUCCGGAUUCACUGGGUGUAAAGGGAGCGUAGACGGCCGUGCAAGCCAGGAGUGAAAGCCCGGGGCCCAACCCCGGGACUGCUCUUGGAACUGGGCGGCUGGAGUGCGGGAGGGGCAGGCGGAAUUCCUGGGGUAGCGGUGAAAUGCGUAGAUAUCAGGAGGAACACCGGCGGCGAAGGCGGCCUGCUGGACCGCGACUGACGUUGAGGCUCGAAAGCGUGGGGAGCGAACAGGAUUAGAUACCCCGGUAGUC